UACGUAGGGUGCGAGCGUUAAUCGGAAUUACUGGGCGUAAAGGGCGCGUAGGCGGCCCGCUAAGUCGAACGUGAAAUCCCCAGGCUCAACCUGGGAACUGCGUCCGAUACUGGCAGGCUUGAAUCCGGGAGAGGGAUGUGGAAUUCCAGGUGUAGCGGUGAAAUGCGUAGAUAUCUGGAGGAACACCGGUGGCGAAGGCGGCAUCCUGGACCGGUAUUGACGCUGAGGCGCGAAAGCUAGAGGAGCAAACGGG
RNAcentral lists this ribosomal RNA (253 nucleotides) under uncultured bacterium. RNAcentral describes it as "partial 16S ribosomal RNA". It matches the Rfam family "Bacterial small subunit ribosomal RNA", at positions 524 to 776 of the family's 1533-position model. The record is from RNAcentral.